This 68-nucleotide transfer RNA is filed under the name Mullus surmuletus (striped red mullet). RNAcentral's name for it is "tRNA-Phe". RNAcentral also lists the same sequence under 1 other name. The record is from RNAcentral. Lineage: Eukaryota; Metazoa; Chordata; Actinopteri; Syngnathiformes; Mullidae.
GCUAGCGUAGCUUACAUAAAGCGUAACUCUGAAGAUGUUAAGAAGGACCCUAAAAAGUUCCGCGGGCA